This is a long non-coding RNA of Oncorhynchus gorbuscha (pink salmon), 547 nucleotides long. RefSeq lists it as uncharacterized. The record is from RefSeq and is a predicted model, not a curated record. The transcript has 3 exons. Lineage: Eukaryota; Metazoa; Chordata; Actinopteri; Salmoniformes; Salmonidae.
GAAGGUGAGCGGUGCGAACCCUACUAGUGGAGCGAUAGAAAAAGACAGCUCUGCUCUACUUUACGCAAAUUGCACGCGGCCACCGCUGCCAUUAUCCAAUCAGCUAAAGAGCAGAUGUUUGCUUGAACAUCUUCCGUUGGUGAAACAUAGUUGCGCGUGUCAUUAGUUCCCGGGCACAAUCCAAAAAGAUGGUGGAGAGCCAAUAAUCGCUGUGUCUGAUUUUCCAACUGUGCUUGAUGUCGCUUUGCUAGAAUACAGAGACAAAAUCACAAAAAGUCAAUGGCAUGGAGAAGGAUUACAAGGAAUGUUGAUGAUGGUGCUGUAGGUGUCCUGGAGAGAAGGCAGUGUGCCCCCGAUGAUGCGUUGGGAAGACCGCUCCGCCCUCUGGAGAGCCCUGCCCUUGACACUACUUUAUCACAUCUAAAGCUCUCAAGAUGGCGUCUGAGAGAGAGAGAUGUUUUAGACGGAGUGAUGAUAUGGCGGCCUGUCAGUGACGUGUGGACAGACAGACAUCUACAACAAACGCUGUUAAGUGUAUCAACUUUGC